This 206-nucleotide long non-coding RNA is filed under the name Coffea arabica (coffee). Its description in RNAcentral is "long non-coding RNA (CARA_LNC006601)". Lineage: Eukaryota; Viridiplantae; Streptophyta; Magnoliopsida; Gentianales; Rubiaceae. The record is from RNAcentral.
GCUCACCCCAUUAGUUUAUUUUCCUUAACAGGAGUUCGGAAUGAAAAGAUUUUUGGAGAAGCCAACUUGAUUACCUUUUAUUUGAAUUUUGGAUGUAAUUGAUUUAGUCGACUUUGAAUGGUUGUAUUUUUGAGAAAAGCUGAUGUACUUUUGGAAACUUGUGAUGUAAGACUUGAAUGUUUAUAUAAGGAAGCAACCUUUCUUUA